UAUACAAUCUACCUUUUACUGGGGAAUAGCCUUUGGAAACGAAGAAUAAUACCCCAUAGUAUCUAAAUUUCGCAUGUUAUUUAGAUUAAAGUUUCGGCGGUAAGAGAUGAGUAUGCGUUCUAUUAGCUAGAUGGUGUGGUAACGGCACACCAUGGCAACGAUAGAUAGGGGCCCUGAGAGGGGGAUCCCCCACACUGGUACUGAGACACGGACCAGACUCCUACGGGAGGCAGCAGUGAGGAAUAUUGGACAAUGGGCGAAAGCCUGAUCCAGCCAUGCCGCGUGCAGGAAGACUGCCCUAUGGGUUGUAAACUGCUUUUAUACGGGAAGAAACCCAUCUACGUGUAGGUGGCUGACGGUACCGUAAGAAUAAGCAUCGGCUAACUCCGUGCCAGCAGCCGCGGUAAUACGGAGGAUGCAAGCGUUAUCCGGAAUCAUUGGGUUUAAAGGGUCCGUAGGUGGAUUGGUAAGUCAGAGGUGAAAGCCUGCAGCUCAACUGUAGAACUGCCUUUGAUACUGCUAGUCUUGAAUUAUUGUGAAGUGGUUAGAAUAUGUAGUGUAGCGGUGAAAUGCAUAGAUAUUACAUAGAAUACCAAUUGCGAAGGCAGAUCACUAACAAUAUAUGACACUGAU
This 633-nucleotide ribosomal RNA is filed under the name Winogradskyella poriferorum. RNAcentral's name for it is "bacterial SSU rRNA". It matches the Rfam family "Bacterial small subunit ribosomal RNA", at positions 118 to 750 of the family's 1533-position model. The record is from RNAcentral. Lineage: Bacteria; Pseudomonadati; Bacteroidota; Flavobacteriia; Flavobacteriales; Flavobacteriaceae.